Molecule: ribosomal RNA, 519 nt
Filed under: Penicillium citrinum
Lineage: Eukaryota; Fungi; Ascomycota; Eurotiomycetes; Eurotiales; Aspergillaceae
Description: eukaryotic LSU rRNA
Rfam family: 5.8S ribosomal RNA (bases 171-324)
Source: RNAcentral
UCCGUAGGUGAACCUGCGGAAGGAUCAUUACCGAGUGCGGGCCCCUCGGGGCCCAACCUCCCACCCGUGUUGCCCGAACCUAUGUUGCCUCGGCGGGCCCCGCGCCCGCCGACGGCCCCCCUGAACGCUGUCUGAAGUUGCAGUCUGAGACCUAUAACGAAAUUAGUUAAAACUUUCAACAACGGAUCUCUUGGUUCCGGCAUCGAUGAAGAACGCAGCGAAAUGCGAUAACUAAUGUGAAUUGCAGAAUUCAGUGAAUCAUCGAGUCUUUGAACGCACAUUGCGCCCUCUGGUAUUCCGGAGGGCAUGCCUGUCCGAGCGUCAUUGCUGCCCUCAAGCCCGGCUUGUGUGUUGGGCCCCGUCCCCCCCGCCGGGGGGACGGGCCCGAAAGGCAGCGGCGGCACCGCGUCCGGUCCUCGAGCGUAUGGGGCUUCGUCACCCGCUCUAGUAGGCCCGGCCGGCGCCAGCCGACCCCCAACCUUUAAUUAUCUCAGGUGACCUCGGAUCAGGUAGGGAUAC